RNAcentral lists this long non-coding RNA (2865 nucleotides) under Homo sapiens (human). RNAcentral's name for it is "HSALNT0300547". Lineage: Eukaryota; Metazoa; Chordata; Mammalia; Primates; Hominidae. The record is from RNAcentral.
UUCUGAGACUGAUGGCUACUUUCUGAGGUGGUCCCCUACAGUUUCAAAGCUUCCCGGAGCUCCACCUCUGCUGAGAAACCCCUCACCGAGCUUCCCUUUCUGUCUGGUUCUGUUGAACGCAAACGACAUCUGCUUCCCACUCCCUGAAACUUCUCUUCAGGGUUCCCGUCAUUGGCUCAAGCUAUGGGAGAGGGCGUGUGAGACCCAGGCCUUCCGGAGGCUUCCAGAGUUAAAGCACUCCCACGGACAGGAGACAGAACUGCCUGUGGAGAAUUGCAUUAUAGCCAAGCGCCGGGAUAUAUAUUUAUCUGUGCCUGACAUUCUCAUCUCUUUUUAAAGGAAAAGCCACACAUUUGGCCAAAAGAUGAAGUGGAAAAAAUGUACUGUUGAACAAAUAUCCAGGAUGGUUGCUCAGAAUGUAUAAAAUGAUGAACUGUGUGGAAAAAUCAUGCCUGUGGCAAAUUGUCAGCAGGCUAUAUUUGGGGGUCCGAAUGCAGGGCCCCUGCCAACUGAGUUCACAGAGCCUUAGUGUUUUUCCACUUCUAUUUAUAGCGAUGCACACAUUCACACACAAAAAAUGCAGGGGACAUUGGACUUCGUUUUUAAAUGAUGAAAAUGUUCGAAAUGUAUCUGGUUUCAGCACGUGAGAGCCGCUCUGCUGUCUACGAUCAGCCUUGCUUACUGAAGAAGGGAUUAAUCAACGUGGGGAAAACAACGUAAUAGGAUCCUUUGGGAAUCUGAAAGUCUGAAAACAACUUUUUUCUCUAUUUCCUUUUUAAAAUGUAAUUCACUUCAACAAAACUUUAUUGAGCACCAACGAUGCAAAAUGUUGAAAUGGACAUCUGAUUGUUGUCUCUCAGCCUCCAUUCCUCCUGCCCCUUUUCCAGCAGCCAUUGCUUCUAGUUGGAGAACCACGUGUUUCCAGUGAGGGAGAUUCUUCUUUCCAGCUUCAGAUGUUGAACACAAGACCUGGCUUGGCCAAUCAGGGCAAGCCAUCCCCCUGGGCACAGUGAUUGGCUCAGGCCCACCCCGAGCUGGACCAAUCAGAGUGAAGAGUGAGACUUUGGCCAGGAAUGCUGAAACAAAGACUGAGCCUUAGUGUUGGAUUUGAAGGAAGAAGCCCCAGGAGCUGCUGAGAGCUGUUUUAUAACCAUGAGCUCAAACUUUAUAGCAAGACAAAGCCAGAAUGUUCAGGUGAAGAAGCAGAGAAUGGCUGUGUGAGUUUCCUAGGCUGUCGGAACAGAGAGCCACAAACUGGGUGUCUUCAAUCCAUACAAAUGUAAUUAUCUCACAGUUCUGGAAGCUGGAAGUCUGAAAUCAAGGUGUCAGCGGGGCUAUGCUUCCUCUAAAGCCUCUAGCCACAGCUUGCUGAGAUCUGAGCACAUAAUCAGAUACACUGACAUGGAUGUUACCGUGUGGACAAGGAAUGAGCAACCUUGAAAAAUGUAUUUUUCUAUAUGCUGUUUUGGUUUUAAGAUCUUGAGAAAGAAGUCCAGGAAUUCACAAGCUUGAAAAGGAGAUGCUGAGGCCACUGUGAAGACUUGAAUACUUUUGCCUUGGAGGCAGUCCCAGGCCCACCACUCUCAGCAAAGGUCUCCUCCUGCCCUUUCCCAGAUCUAACACAGGACAGCAGGCGGAGAGGAACCACCCCCUUUUCCUUCUCACUAUUCUGGCUCUUGUUAGAGUGACAGUGGGAUGGGAACUAGGACUCUUUGUCAUUGCCAGGGGUUGCCUUGAAGGACUGGAGUCUGAGAGUAAGCAAACUUUAUGACCCACAAAAAAAAAACCAGCUUCAGGAAAGCUUAAUGGAGUUCCUGGUGUGAACUUAGAAGCAAGGUUUGAUAAUUAAUUCUGACCUGGCUAUUUGUGAAUAAACAAAGAUUAAUACAGUGAUUUCCAUUUUGCUGAGUAUUUUUCGGCCUCUGAACAGGACGGUCACAUGGUUUUGCUCUUGUUUGCAUGAAGCGAAAUUCUGGGGUCCUCUCAAUAAACCCACAAGAGUUUCUAUCUCAUAAUGAGAGCUGGCUUCUUGUGUUUUUGAGGCAGAAUUUUGACAGUGUUUCUUGUGCAUUCUUCACCAUCAUUUGGAGCCACCACCUUGGCAACGUCUGUAGACAAGGAGAUAAGGGACUCUCAAAUCUAUCCUUGAAGAGGAAGUGGCCCCAGAGUUCCGAUAAAAUCCUGCCGUAUACGGGCUGUAUAAAAGCAAUUUGACCACUUGCGAUUUUGAGUCUUAAGAAUCUUUCAAUUUCUCAGCCUCUGGCAGGAGUAAGAGAAUAAUAUCCUGGAUGUUUAUAAAAUUCGAUAACCUUUUAAAUCCAUCCCACUUGAAGGAAUAGCUAGAUUUCUGGACCCCCAUUUUCUGAGGCUUUCCAGGAUGGACGCAUGCUAUCAGCUCCCCCUGCAGGUCUGACUCUUUCCUGACAGGGAAUUCCUGGAGGUCCACUGAGAAAAUGGAUUCUGGAAGGGCUCUAAAUUGUGUCGCACAGACGAAAUGCUUCGACUGCUUGGAAAUGACCCACCUUUCUGCUGGAAGCCACAUGUCCUGGGAAUGCACCAAAGUCUGAAUCUGUCAGUACCUUACUAUGCUGCAGGAAAACAAAGUCCCACCCAGAACUCCAGUGCCCAGGCAGGACCUUCCUUGCGCUAAACGCGCUUUAGAAUGUUCAAUUCUCUCUCUUCUUUGUAAGCACUGUGGCCCUGUGGUAAAUCCAUCACAGAUAAAAUGGCCUCUACAUGAGCCAUGUGCUAAAAAAGGAUACGUACACCCAUUGUGUGUUGAGUCUAAAAGUUGUUUCUCAAAAAGUUUUGGAUUGUCCCAAAUUUUAUAUGUGAGUUUGCUGAUUCAGUCAUUCAAUAAAUAUU